Molecule: long non-coding RNA, 308 nt
Filed under: Vicia faba (fava bean)
Lineage: Eukaryota; Viridiplantae; Streptophyta; Magnoliopsida; Fabales; Fabaceae
Source: RNAcentral
AUGAGAUCACAGGGAUCGGGCUGGAGCUUGACAAGAGCGAUACAGGAAACAUACAAUCGAAGGCUAGCAAGAAGAAGCAAAAAGAUAGUAAAAGCUCAAGGGAUUCAUCACGAAGGCAAGUGCUCCAGCGGAAGCUAUCAAUUAAAAGGUCAGACCGAGUAGUGGUAGUUAACCGGGGGAGGGAGCGGCUCAUCCCGGCUCCGUCUUCGCCUCAGCCUUCUCCGCUCCCUGUUGGGUAUCUCCGAGGACUUGAGCUAAGGGAUUGUUUACUGAACGUCCCAUACUUGACCUAUCGCUCCAUUCGGUGA